ACAUGCAAGUCGAGCGAGGCCCACUCUUCGGGGUGGUGCCCUAGCGGCGAACGGGUGAGUAACACGUGGGCAACCUGCCCUCAGCUCUGGGAUAACUCCAAGAAAUUGGUGCUAAUACCGGAUGUGACCGCUGACCGCAUGGUCUGGUGGUGGAAAGAUUCAUCGGCUGGGGAUGGGCCCGCGGCCUAUCAGCUUGUUGGUGGGGUAAUGGCCCACCAAGGCGACGACGGGUAGCCGGCCUGAGAGGGUGACCGGCCACACUGGGACUGAGACACGGCCCAGACUCCUACGGGAGGCAGCAGUGGGGAAUAUUGCGCAAUGGGCGAAAGCCUGACGCAGCGACGCCGCGUGAGGGAUGACGGCCUUCGGGUUGUAAACCUCUUUCAGUAGGGACGAAGCGAAAGUGACGGUACCUACAGAAGAAGCACCGGCCAACUACGUGCCAGCAGCCGCGGUAAUACGUAGGGUGCAAGCGUUGUCCGGAAUUAUUGGGCGUAAAGAGCUCGUAGGCGGUCUGUCACGUCGGCUGUGAAAACCCGAGGCUCAACCUCGGGCCUGCAGUCGAUACGGGCAAACUANAGUACUGCAGGGGAGACUGGAAUUCCUGGUGUAGCGGUGAAAUGCGCAGAUAUCAGGAGGAACACCGGUGGCGAAGGCGGGUCUCUGGGCA
RNAcentral lists this ribosomal RNA (670 nucleotides) under unidentified microorganism. RNAcentral describes it as "bacterial SSU rRNA". It matches the Rfam family "Bacterial small subunit ribosomal RNA", at positions 53 to 735 of the family's 1533-position model. The record is from RNAcentral.